Long non-coding RNA from Sinocyclocheilus rhinocerous, 264 nucleotides. RefSeq lists it as uncharacterized. The record is from RefSeq and is a predicted model, not a curated record. NCBI's taxonomy places the organism in Eukaryota, Metazoa, Chordata, Actinopteri, Cypriniformes, Cyprinidae. The transcript is spliced from 4 exons.
AGUUUUACGCCCCUGUUGUUCCUGAUGCGUCCAGUAGGGGGAGGCUGUACAGUAUGAGCCAUCAGAACAGAAGCGACACGAAUAAGAGAUGGGAAAUGCCUGCAUGAAACUCGUCUAUGAAGAGGGCAAAGACAUGUACACUGCCAACAUGCAUGUUAUUGCCACAAUCCUCUAGCCUACUCUCCAGAUAAUGCUUUCAUGAAGGAUGCCCUUGUGUUCCCUGCAUGAACACAAGCCACCGGCCCAGAUCAUUAUCUGUUAUGU